This 377-nucleotide ribosomal RNA is filed under the name uncultured eukaryote. RNAcentral describes it as "partial 18S ribosomal RNA". It matches the Rfam family "Eukaryotic small subunit ribosomal RNA", at positions 592 to 976 of the family's 1831-position model. The record is from RNAcentral.
CAAUAGCGUAUAUUAAAGUUGUUGCAGUUAAAAAGCUCGUAGUUGGAUUUCGGGGCAGCCUGGCUGGUCCGCCGCAAGGCGAGUACUGGUCAGCCGCCCUUCCUCUCGAAAGCCCCGACUGCUCUUCGUUGCAGUGGUCGGGUAGUUCGGGACGUUUACUUUGAAAAAAUUAGAGUGUUCAAGGCAGGCCUACGCCUGAAUACAUUAGCAUGGAAUAAUGGAAGAGGACCUCGGUCCUAUUUUGUUGGGUUCCAGGGCCGAAGUAAUGAUUAAGAGGGACAGUUGGGGGCAUUCGUAUUUAAUUGUCAGAGGUGAAAUUCUCGGAUUUAUGAAAGACGAACAACUGCGAAAGCAUUUGCCAAGGAUGUUUUCAUUAA